AACGAACGCUGGCGGCAUGCCUAGCACAUGCAAGUCGAACGAAGGCUUCGGCCUUAGUGGCGCACGGGUGAGUAACGCGUGGGAAACUGCCUAUUGGUGGGGAAUAACGACGGGAAACUGUCACUAAUACCGCAUAAGCCCUUCGGGGGAAAGAUUUAUCGCCGAUAGAUGUGCCCGCGUCCGAUUAGCUAGUCGGUGAGGUAAUGGCUCACCAAGGCGACGAUCGGUAGCUGGUCUGAGAGGAUGAUCAGCCACACUGGGACUGAGACACGGCCCAGACUCCUACGGGAGGCAGCAGUGGGGAAUAUUGGACAAUGGGCGAAAGCCUGAUCCAGCAAUGCCGCGUGAGUGAUGAAGGCCUUAGGGUUGUAAAGCUCUUUCGGGUGGGACGAUGAUGACGGUACCACCAGAAGAAGCCCCGGCUAACUUCGUGCCAGCCGCCGCCGUAA
This 449-nucleotide ribosomal RNA is filed under the name uncultured bacterium. RNAcentral describes it as "partial 16S ribosomal RNA". It matches the Rfam family "Bacterial small subunit ribosomal RNA", at positions 29 to 523 of the family's 1533-position model. The record is from RNAcentral.